Molecule: long non-coding RNA, 1003 nt
Organism: Carassius gibelio (silver crucian carp)
Lineage: Eukaryota; Metazoa; Chordata; Actinopteri; Cypriniformes; Cyprinidae
Exons: 5
Source: RefSeq, a predicted model, not a curated record
GCUUACACUGAGAGUGUAACGUUAAUCGGCUGAAAACAAGUUCACAUGAGUUUUGAUAUUUCAUGAUAAACAGAUAUUAAUACAAAUUGUUCUGUGAUUUCAGGAUGACAGAAAGAAACUCUACAGAACAAAGUGAAACUCCAAGAUUUCUGAAAAGAAAAUUGGUGAAAUAUAUUCUGAAAAAGGCAUAUUAAUGUAUUUCAUGAGCUUCUUCAGUUCACCUGUAUUUCUAAGUCAGUAUCUCCCUUCAGAAAUGUUGCUGACGGGAGAUACUGACUUAGAAAUACAGGUGAACUCAAAAAGCUCAUGAAAUACUCAUGAAAGAAGCUCAUGAAAUACAUUAAUAUGCCUUUUUUCAGAAUAUAUUUCACCAAUUUUAAGAAGUCCCUGACAUCAAAACAUUGCUUGUUUUGUUCCUGGACUCUUCAGUGAUGAUGAGCAGAGUCUGAGUGAACCUGCUGUCAGACAGGUUGGGCCGAUAGACGAUUCCAUCGCCGAUGGCUGAUAGACAUCACGAUGCUGCGCCGGCAAACAGCGUCAUGAGCUCCAGUAUCUCGUGCGUGCAUCCGUGGUUGCCCAGGCUUUGGGUUAAAGGUAAUACUGUUGUAAGUAGUGUUCAUUUUCUUGUACAGACCAAUAAUUUAUUUUCAUUAGAUCUCAAUGUGUCACCAGGAGCCACCGGUUUUUGGUCCUGUUGUUUUUUUCUCAAAAACCGGCAGCCGCUGACUUGCAUUUAAGAAUCACCAAGGGCAACGGUUUCACCUAAAAACCUUUACUGUUCUACUGCAAAAACCUUGGAUGACCUGAGGAUCACUAUUGCACACCAAAUACUCUUACUCAGCAGAUGGGGACAGCUACCAUCACCCAAUUUACACCCAAAAGUGGCUGCGCUAUGCGCCAGACCGGGGCAGGAGGGACUGGGCGACAACUUAUGCAGGCAUCAGAUGACAGUGAAGUGUAAAUAAAGAGUAGAGAGGCUAAUAAACAUUAAUUUGAUUUUAAA